Molecule: long non-coding RNA, 272 nt
Filed under: Lathyrus oleraceus (garden pea)
Lineage: Eukaryota; Viridiplantae; Streptophyta; Magnoliopsida; Fabales; Fabaceae
Description: Pisum sativum (pea) long non-coding RNA (PSAT_LNC016691)
Source: RNAcentral
UAUAUUCCAGUUGUUAUGAAAAUAAUAAAUAACAAUGAGUGGUCUAGUGGAGAGAGAGCAGUUUCAUUGCCUUUAGUGGAGUGGGUUCAAUACUUGGGGAUAGUAAAUCUUUAUGUUUUUAUUUGUUAUGCUUACUAUUUUAUUUAAUUUUUUUUAUAUAACUCCUAUUAUUUAUUUUACUUUUAUAUUUUUAUUAAUUUAAUUCGAUUGUUAUUUAGUGGUUUGUAUUUUUAAAUGUUUACCUUUUAGAUUUAGUUAGUGGUUGAAUUUCC